Molecule: unclassified non-coding RNA, 209 nt
Filed under: uncultured fungus
Lineage: Eukaryota; Fungi
Description: sequence contains ITS1, 5.8S rRNA gene
Rfam family: 5.8S ribosomal RNA (bases 161-209)
Source: RNAcentral
UCUCCGUUGGUGAACCAGCGGAGGGAUCAUUACAGAGUCGUAAAACACUCCCAAACCCAUGUGAACUUACCAUUGUUGCCUCGGCGGGCUUGCCUGCCGGUUGGACAUUAUCAAACCUUUUUGUAGUUGCAAUCAGCGUCAGAAACAAAACAAUAAUUACAACUUUCAACAACGGAUCUCUUGGUUCUGGCAUCGAUGAAGAACGCAGC